CCUACGGGAGGCAGCAGUGGGGAAUUUUGGACAAUGGGGGCAACCCUGAUCCAGCAAUGCCGCGUGAGUGAAGAAGGCCUUCGGGUUGUAAAGCUCUUUUGUCAGGGAAGAAACAGCAGCUCUAACACAGUCUGCGAAUGACGGUACCUGAAGAAUAAGCACCGGCUAACUACGUGCCAGCAGCCGCGGUAAUACGUAGGGUGCGAGCGUUAAUCGGAAUUACUGGGCGUAAAGCGUGCGCAGGCGGUUAUACAAGACAGGCGUGAAAUCCCCGGGCUUAACCUGGGAAUGGCGUCUGUGACUGUAUAGCUAGAGUGUGUCAGAGGGGGGUGGAAUUCCACGUGUAGCAGUGAAACGCGUAGAUAUGUGGAGGAACACCAAUGGCGAAGGCAGCCCCCUGGGAUAACACUGACGCUCAUGCACGAAAGCGUGGGGAGCAAACAGGAUUAGAUACCCUGGUAGUCCACGCCCUAAACGAUGCUGACUAGUUGUUGGGAAUUUACAUUCUCAGUAACGUAGCUAACGCGUGAAGUCAGCCGCCUGGGGAGUACGGUCGCAAGAUUAAAACUCAAAUGAAUUGACGG
This 584-nucleotide ribosomal RNA is filed under the name uncultured bacterium. Its description in RNAcentral is "bacterial SSU rRNA". It matches the Rfam family "Bacterial small subunit ribosomal RNA", at positions 338 to 916 of the family's 1533-position model. The record is from RNAcentral.